GUCUCAAUCUGCACUUCACUCAAAGCCUCUGGAUAUGGGGCACUGGUCCCUGCUCAAAAAUAACUGAGCAGAAACGCCUUUCCACCUAAAAAAAACCCCCACGAAUGGCUCCCAGGGAAGAAAUAUAGCUCCCAUAAUUAAAGAAGGCAGCGGUCAGAAGGGAAUGCAGCCUGAAAGAGGGGAAAAAGCGAGUUUUACUUCUUUUCUGAUUGCACUUGGGGUGUCAUUACCAGCAGGUUUAUCCACACAAAGCACUCGUAGCAAAGAGUUGCGUGUACAUGGGAAAGAAAGCUCGAGCAAACGAAGACCAGAGGAGAAGGAAGAGGAAAGAUUAAGGAACACAGUCCAACUUCGAGAAAGAAACCCCUUUGAAGUCUUUUCUACAAGACAAGUAUUAGACAUAUCUAAAAGGUGAUACAAUUUCUGGCGGGAGCGGAAAACGAAGUUAUUCCUUUUUCUAACAAGGAAAAAAAAGCUUAUGCCCAGAGAGAACAUUCUUCACAUUUAGGAUACUCUUAAGACUGUUGCUUCCAGUCUAACCCUGGAUAACAAAGCUGAUGCUUUAGCGAGUAGGCUUUGUUAAGUGUUGCUUAAAACUUUCCCAGGCUCAAACUGAUUUUUAUUUUAUGGCAUUGCACGGAGAUGAAUGGACUAUUAGUUAAAAGGAAGAGGAACAAUUCAAGAAGCUCCCAGUUAGUUACUCUGGUACAAGCAAGAAGAUUCAAACUGGGAGAGAGAUCCUCCUGGAUCUGGAUGUGACAUACGUUUUGGUGGUAAAACGGGUUCCGCCUAUCCUCCUCCCCCCCC
This is a long non-coding RNA of Pelodiscus sinensis (Chinese soft-shelled turtle), 807 nucleotides long. RefSeq lists it as uncharacterized. The record is from RefSeq and is a predicted model, not a curated record. Lineage: Eukaryota; Metazoa; Chordata; Testudines; Trionychidae.